CUACGUGCCAGCAGCCGCGGUAAUACGUAGGUCCCGAGCGUUGUCCGGAUUUAUUGGGCGUAAAGCGAGCGCAGGCGGUUAGAUAAGUCUGAAGUUAAAGGCUGUGGCUUAACCAUAGUACGCUUUGGAAACUGUUUAACUUGAGUGCAAGAGGGGAGAGUGGAAUUCCAUGUGUAGCGGUGAAAUGCGUAGAUAUAUGGAGGAACACCGGUGGCGAAAGCGGCUCUCUGGCUUGUAACUGACGCUGAGGCUCGAAAGCGUGGGGAGCAAACAGGAUUAGAUACCCUGGUAGUCCACGCCGUAAACGAUGAGUGCUAGGUGUUAGACCCUUUUCGGGGUUUAGUGCCGUAGCUAACGCAUUAAGCACUCCGCCUGGGGAGUACGACCGCAAGGUUGAAACUCAAAGGAAUUGACGGGGGCCCGCACAAGCGGAGGAACAUGUGGUUUAAUUCGAUGAUACGCGAGGAACCUUACCCGGGCUUGAA
Molecule: ribosomal RNA, 485 nt
Filed under: uncultured bacterium
Lineage: Bacteria
Description: bacterial SSU rRNA
Rfam family: Bacterial small subunit ribosomal RNA
Source: RNAcentral